This is a long non-coding RNA of Motacilla alba alba, 5642 nucleotides long. RefSeq lists it as uncharacterized. The transcript has 4 exons. The record is from RefSeq and is a predicted model, not a curated record. NCBI's taxonomy places the organism in Eukaryota, Metazoa, Chordata, Aves, Passeriformes, Motacillidae.
UCAAUCUCCUGCAUGAUUGUCAUGUGUGCUUUUUACCAAUGGCAUUGAUACUGUUGACCAAGCCUAGAGUUUCAGAUCCUUUUCAGCACAGCUGCCAGCUAAACACUCCCCAACUUGUAUGUAUGCUUGUUGCUCUGCAUCUACAUCUUGCACAUAUCCUUACUGAAUUGCACUCUCAUUUUUCAGAUUUAUUUCCUGUUUGUCAAGAUCACUUUGAAUUAUAGUCCUCCUGCCUGAAGUGCUUGCAGUUCCUCACAGGCUGGUGUAACUGCCAGUUUAAAGAGCUUCCUCUUUACAGCCCACUUCAAGAACUAAUGCAUCAAAAGGUGUCAGCCCCACGGCAGACUCCUGCAGUGAAAUAAUGAUACUUCUAAAGCUACUUCUAAAUAGGUUUUCUACCAGUUUUGUACCUUCAAUGUGCAUAUUUAAUUUCAGAGUACAUAACAUCUGCAUGAGCAAACAAGGGAUAUGUGAAAAAGCGUCAAAAACUCUACAAAAGAUGGAUAUAUAUGGCAUCAGUUGCUUCUUCCUUAUGCACAAAGUGUUACCCCCUCAAAGCAUGUUACUCAUUUCACAGAAAGAAACUAUGAUUUGACCCAAUUUAUUUUCAACACAAUGAUGAUGAGUGCUACUUCAGUCAUGCAGUGGUUUGAUUAUUCAUUCCAUUAUUUGUUUUUCUUUUUUUAAUAGGAGUUGCUGCUAAACCGAUGGUUAGGUAAUUUCCAAACAACACUUUAAUCUUUCCCCUAUACUUCUAUAUUUGUCAUUGCUCAGCCCUGAAGUUCCUUGAGAUGGUUCAAAGGAGGAUCACAAAAGCAGAACAGCAGAAGAAUUACAAGCAGAUCAGCUGAGUGCUACUGAAAGCAGAAUGGUAAUCACAGCUCCUACUCUGACCACCUCUUCUGAUCUGGUAGAUAAGAGGGCACUUCCCUUCAACCACAGGAGUACCUGCACAAGAAGCUUGGCCAGAGGUCUGAAGAAAAAUGCAGAGGAACCAGAGUCACUGAAAGUCCAGUAUUAUCUCAUUACUGCUAUUACUAAAAUCAUCUGCCAUCAACAAUGCAAAAUAGAUGAAUUCUAAUUUUUCUUAGGUCCUAUGGUCCUUCAAGACAGAAUUUAGUACAUAGCUGGGAGUGCAUUACUACUUUGAUUAGGAUUUGCUACUAUACUCUUAUUAGGAUGAAAGGCUGUACUAGACUAAGGCCACAGGUGAUCUGAUUCCAGUGACCACCAAAUUAAAGGUCAUCUUGAAGAGCAGGAAUCAAAUUUCUCUCCUUAUAGUCGACUCCAGAAAUCUAUGGAAGUGUUGUGCAUGUUUGUUAACAUCCUUGCACAGGAUUUUUUAAUCUGCUUGAUAAUGUAGAUCAAAUGUCUCACUUUGUUCUCUUGCUUGACAAAACCAGAUUAAUUUAAAGUCAGCAAAUCAUACUGAAAAUCCUUAAUUUAGUAGUCUUGUCUAUGGUCUGAUUGAAACAAAAAUAAUUGAGUAGUUGGUGAAAGUUAAAAACAGCUAAUAGAAAACAAUCAACAGUUUAUAAUUUCACCUUUUUCUCCUAGGAAAUAAAUGUUUGGCAUUUUUUAAGUUUAGGCAGAAUAGGAUGCUUGUAAUACUAAUUUCUUCAUCAUGCACUGAUAAUAAAUAUUGGGCAACUGAGAAAUUCUGGUGGAAAAUAUUUGAUUUUCAAGAACUGUUUCCAAGAUCCAUUCAGCUACAACAACAUUGCUAUUUGUGACACUGAAUAUGGCUUUGAGCUCUGUACAGAUGAGCUAGUUGUAAGAAUUUCAGAUUUCAAACCUUUUGGUGGUAGCCAGCUGUCCACACUCUCUGAUACCUGUUAUUUGAUGCAGCUGCCUGUUGAACUGCUUAGCAUCAUUAUUUCCUAUUCCUCUAAACAUAAUCCUAAAAGCAGCUUAGUAACAAAUGUGGUAGCAGAGCACUGUGGAUAUCUGUGUCCUGGGACAGCCUGGGAUUAUUCGGUACUUAUGCCUCUCCUGUCUCAACACUGAAUUUGCUAAAAUCUAGAAACAGAACCACUCUGCUGUCUUCCUGUCACACUUUCUUUUAUGUAAGCUAAAAAUCUCCAAAUUCUAAAAUUACUUGUGCCAUUAGCACCAAAGUAAACACAGUUGGAGACUAUGGCUCAGGAAGUAGGGGACAUCAGGAUACUGGAUAAAGGAAGCAUGAAAAAAAUCAACCCCAACCAAUGUUUCUUGCAGGAUGAGAGUCCUUUCUCCAAAUUCCUUCCAAAAUCAGCAGCUGCCAGUGACUUUGGGGGUUGAAAUAAAGGCUGAAGCCUUCUCCCCAUUCCUAGGAAUUGUUCUCUGCUCUGUUUCCUCUAGAGCUCAGCUUUGAAUCUGUAGGCAAUGCCGUAGGCAAGUAGCUGUGUCCUCUCAGGAAUAUCCCUGUCUGUAAUCAUGCUGCUCACCAUUUCUCUUUUUGUCUUUUCCAUCUGCAUUUAAAAGGUUCUGCAAAGAUGAGCUUGCUUUUGAAAAAAUAAGCAAUUCCCCCCUUCCUUCUCCUUCCCAGAAGCUUCAAAUUUAGAGUACAGCAGCCAGAGUGAGGUAAACAGAGUCUUCCUCUUGGUUACCGCCAAUGCAACCUCUUUAAGUAACAGAAAAUGUAACUCUAGAUUCAUUCAAUAAGUUGGAAACAAUCUAUAAUUUGUAGCCACAGAAUUAGAGCAGCAAAGAGUUCCAAAAUUAGACAAUUUUUAGCAACAACUUGGAUUUAAAGAGACAUUAUUGCACUAUAUAGAAGUAGAGAUUUGUCCACUACUAUUUAACCAGUUACAGGAAAUACUGGUUUGUGCCUUUCAGUAUAUAAGACACCUAUUCUUAUAUCUAAAUAUAUUUUUCUUUGGUUUCACCAUGGAGACAGCUUAUUAUUAAAUAAAAGUUUAGUUUAGGAAUGGUUUUAAAUGUUUUAAAACCAUUGGUCCUCAACAUGGUGUUAUUAGUUGUAUGAGCUGUAUGAGCUUAUUUUACACAGGUUGUGACCAACAUUGUUUUCUGUUGUGGUCAACUCCUUUAACACAGAACUAGCAAUAUGCAUCUGAACAAUUUCUAAAUAUUUUAAAUCACCUGCGGAUUAUAAAGCCCAAGGAUUUCCUAUUCAUGCCAUUGGACAAAUAACGUACUAGGGAAAUUGUUCAUCCAGAGUUUGUCCCUGAUACUCUCUGCUAGUCUGUAAAUUCUUUGAUUCAGAUUCUGUUAUUUUGAAUGUGCUUCUACAGUAUCUGGCUCCUGCCUUCAUUAGGAUAUUUAAAUACCAAGAAUUAAUAUAGUGGAAGUGUCUUAUUCUGCAAAUGCAGAACUUGAUAGAAGGACUAAUUUAUUUUGUUUGCAAAUCUGGAUUUUAGGGGGCAGAAAGUAAUCUCAGAUUUCCUCAAACAUAGGAAGCAGGAAAGUGUGGACAUAUGCUGUUACUAAUUUUUAACUUUAGUAGCCAAUUUUAAGAAAAUUUGUGUUUCCUAUAGUUAGACAGAAUCUUCUGUACCUCAAUAAAGAAUUGAAUAAAUUGAACUGAUCCCAUAUAUUAAUAUGACAGCUAGUACAUUCUAGUAUGAAGUAAGUACUCACAAAAGCUUUUAGACCAGUAGUUUUGUAGUCCCACAAUGCCAGUAAUGUUUGGAACUAAAUGCAAAACUAAUUUCUCUGAAUUAACUUCUUCUCGGUAAAUAUUUCAGCAAAGGUCUCAAUUUAACUACAAAACUGAUUGGUGGUAGAAGUGAGAACUUUUGAAUAUACAUUUCUAUUUGAAGUGACAAACAAAUUAGAAAAAUCUGUUUCAAUGUCAUUGUCUUACUACUUUGUGUUGAAAUUAUUAAAUUAAAGUUAUCAUUAUGCUAGAAAUUUUUUUAUUAAUUUAUAAGGAAAUUAGCAAAUAUAAUCUAAAAAACUGUACAAUUCCUUUCAAUCAAAAGGGAGAAGUGUAGCCUUCUCAAUACACUGUCAAAACGGGCAGCUGAAAUGGAAAAAGCAAGAUAAAACUGAACCAGAGUGAGACCAAAUGCUUUAGAAGGAAAAUUGUUUCCCUGGUCAUCAAAUGCACCUGCACAUUGAGGAUAGGCAAGAAAACAGUUCAACUUGUCAACAUUGGGUUCAGCUAUUCUGUCCCAGCCAGCCCUACCUCAGUUUAAUUGCUGGGUGAGGAAGGAGUCAUCUUCAUGGCUCAGAAUCCUCACUGGACAGAUGGCUGCUGCCUCUUGGCUCUUGGCUGGCCACAGGAAUGGGUCUGGAGCAGUGUACAACCUUCAGGCACUGUUUUCUGUGGUCCUGGCUGAGAGUAUGUCAGUUCUUGUCUUCAGAACCUUUUGACUCCUUCAGUGCUACUGAUUACUCAAGUUGAGAGCAAAAAUAAAUAAACAUAAAUUUGAAAAAAUUUUCUCUUAACAGUGUCUCAAGUAUUUCUUCCCUUAUUCUCCUGUAUAUGUUUCUGUUUAUUUGUUUUUUAUUUGGUUUUGGUUUUGGCUUUCUUGUUGUUGUUGGUUUUGGGGUUAUUUUUGUGGAAAAAAACAGCCAUCUCAAACAUAUCCAAUAUAUAUUACUGCAGAAAUCUGUACACUUGCAGCACUGAAACCUGCAACUCCUUGUUAUAUAAAUGUACUAAACAUCGCUUUCCAAAACCAGUUCCUCGUCUCCUUAGCAACACAGGCUGCAAAGAGAUCACCAGCCUGGUGUUCUGCUGCAUGUAUGAGCUCCCAAGUCAACUGGAAGAGUUUUGGUUUAAGAUUCAUAACCUUCCUUUGACCAGUUCAAGCUACAGGUGAGGGAGACUCUUCUUUUGCAUAUGGUCUCAUGAAAGCCAUAAUUUCAAUGUUUACCAUUGGAAUAUAUAAUCAAUCAACCAAGAGGAGCUUCUAAGAAAAGAAAAUUUUCAUGGCAAAAGAACAAUUUAUUCUGUUCCCCCACACCAUGAGCCUAGAACAAAAUAUUUUAAUACUGAAAGAUUUUUUUUAAUAUAACUUCCCUUAAUAACUUAUAAGGAUACAAAAAUGUAUGCAAGAUCAAUACUAUGUCUUUCACAAAACUUCUAGAAACUAAUAAUUUUUCUUCUAUUAUGAGGCAGAAACGUGAGAAAUCUUACUACAGACAAGCCUGUCUGUGUGACUGUUGUGAGGUGCUGUUAUAAGACUAACAGUUAAUAUUAUUGUGCCUGGCUUUAGCCAGCAAAGAUUUGAAUUGCUUCUGGAAAUUAAAAUCUCCUUUUAAAUCAUUCCUCCCCUGGUGCCUUCUAGUUAGCCUGAGGUUUUGUUCAUUUUCAUGCUAGUUCUGUACACACACAAGGUAACAGUAACUUUGUUUAGAGUUAAGACUGAAUUUCAUUUCAGCAGUUGUCACCAGACUCCACUGCAUUCCAUGAGGUCAAAAAAUUGAUGAGGAAACCACUGAUGAAGGCAAAAUCAUGUGCACUUACUUUCAAAUAUUAUAUUAGGCAAAACUUUCAUGGUCUCCUUGAUUAUUUUUACCCUGUGUUGAGAACCAAGAGAGGAAGCCCAAGAGCCCAUCAGUCUUGUAGGUCAGGUGGCUUUGAGCUGCACACACCAGGAUCCUGUCUACGCCUCCAAAAUAGACUGGUGGGAGAAAUGAUACAAGCAUGAGGUCAUUCUGUACUUCUACAGAAAUCACUUUUUCCAAUGUAU